UUUCGGGAUCUACUGUCUACUC
This 22-nucleotide non-coding RNA is filed under the name Rattus norvegicus (Norway rat). The record is from RNAcentral. Lineage: Eukaryota; Metazoa; Chordata; Mammalia; Rodentia; Muridae.